RNAcentral lists this transfer RNA (77 nucleotides) under bacterium. RNAcentral describes it as "tRNA-Arg". It matches the Rfam family "tRNA". From Rfam's summary of the family: Transfer RNA (tRNA) molecules are approximately 80 nucleotides in length. Their secondary structure includes four short double-helical elements and three loops (D, anti-codon, and T loops). Further hydrogen bonds mediate the characteristic L-shaped molecular structure. tRNAs have two regions of fundamental functional importance: the anti-codon, which is responsible for specific mRNA codon recognition, and the 3' end, to which the tRNAs corresponding amino acid is attached (by aminoacyl-tRNA synthetases). tRNAs cope with the degeneracy of the genetic code in two manners: having more than one tRNA (with a specific anti-codon) for a particular amino acid; and 'wobble' base-pairing, i.e. permitting non-standard base-pairing at the 3rd anti-codon position. The record is from RNAcentral. RNAcentral also lists the same sequence under 2 other names.
GCCCUUGUAGCUCAAUUGGAUAGAGCGUCUGACUUCGGAUCAGGAGGUUGCAGGUUCGACUCCUGCCAGGGGCACCA